RNAcentral lists this transfer RNA (79 nucleotides) under Pyrolobus fumarii 1A. RNAcentral describes it as "tRNA-Leu". Lineage: Archaea; Thermoproteati; Thermoproteota; Thermoprotei; Desulfurococcales; Pyrodictiaceae. The record is from RNAcentral.
GAGACUGUAACUCCACACUGACUGCUCCCCAGGCUUUCUGAGCCAGAGGUCCGGGGUUCAAAUCCCCGCGGGCCCGCCA